RNAcentral lists this transfer RNA (72 nucleotides) under Capra hircus (goat). It matches the Rfam family "tRNA". From Rfam's summary of the family: Transfer RNA (tRNA) molecules are approximately 80 nucleotides in length. Their secondary structure includes four short double-helical elements and three loops (D, anti-codon, and T loops). RNAcentral also lists the same sequence under 1 other name. The record is from Rfam by way of RNAcentral. Lineage: Eukaryota; Metazoa; Chordata; Mammalia; Artiodactyla; Bovidae.
UCCCCAGUAGCUCACAUGGUAAAGAGUCUGCCUGCAAUGCAGGAGACCCAGGUUCAAUCCCUGGGUCGGGAA